This 468-nucleotide ribosomal RNA is filed under the name uncultured bacterium. RNAcentral describes it as "partial 16S ribosomal RNA". It matches the Rfam family "Bacterial small subunit ribosomal RNA", at positions 28 to 507 of the family's 1533-position model. The record is from RNAcentral.
GACGAACGCUGGCGGCGUGCUUAACACAUGCAAGUCGAACGGAAAGGCCCUGCUUUCGUGGGGUGCUCGAGUGGCGAACGGGUGAGUAACACGUGAGUAACCUGCCCCUGACUUUGGGAUAACUUCAGGAAACUGGGGCUAAUACCGGAUAGGAGCUCCUGCUGCAUGGUGGGGGUUGGAAAGUUUCGGCGGUUGGGGAUGGACUCGCGGCUUAUCAGCUUGUUGGUGGGGUAGUGGCUUACCAAGGCUUUGACGGGUAGCCGGCCUGAGAGGGUGACCGGCAAAAUUGGGACUGGAAUACGGCCCAGAAUCCUACGGGAGGCAGCAGUGGGAAAUAUUGCACAGUGAGCGGAAGCCUGAUGCAGCAACGCCGCGUGCGGGAUGACGGCCUUCGGGUUGUAAACCGCUUUCGCCUGUGACGAAGCGUGAGUGACGGUAAUGGGUAAAGAAGCACCGGCUAACUACGUG